GUAAAAUCAAGGAUUAAGGGAGUGGGAGAGAGCACAUGGAGAAACAGAGUGACUCACUGAGAUAGAAUGAGAGUACUAGAGUGACUGCUGGACACUUAGUGAGAGUGUCCUUCAGCAAUUGCUAGACCUUGAAUGAAAGUGGCACAGAAACUAGAGUAUCACAAAGACUUCCAAAUUGCGUUUGUUUCGAGUGUCAGUGUGUCAUUGAAUGAGUGAUCUUAGACAGCAAGUAGAGUGUUAC
This is a non-coding RNA of Pelobates cultripes (western spadefoot toad), 241 nucleotides long. The record is from the annotation of a GenBank genome assembly. Lineage: Eukaryota; Metazoa; Chordata; Amphibia; Anura; Pelobatidae.